UACGUAGGUGGCAAGCGUUGUUCGGAAUUAUUGGGCGUAAAGGGCGCGUAGGCGGCCGUUUGCGUCGGAUGUGAAAGCCCGGGGCUCAACCUCGGAACGGCAUUCGAUACGGGACGGCUAGAGACCGGGAGAGGAGAGUGGAAUAGCCAGUGUAGAGGUGAAAUUCGUAGAUAUUGGCUGGAACACCGGUGGCGAAAGCGGCUCUCUGGCCCGGUUCUGACGCUGAGGCGCGAAAGCGUGGGGAGCAAACAGG
RNAcentral lists this ribosomal RNA (253 nucleotides) under uncultured bacterium. RNAcentral describes it as "partial 16S ribosomal RNA". It matches the Rfam family "Bacterial small subunit ribosomal RNA", at positions 524 to 776 of the family's 1533-position model. The record is from RNAcentral.